This 1833-nucleotide ribosomal RNA is filed under the name Triticum aestivum (bread wheat). RNAcentral describes it as "partial small subunit ribosomal RNA". The record is from RNAcentral. Lineage: Eukaryota; Viridiplantae; Streptophyta; Magnoliopsida; Poales; Poaceae.
AUGGUGGGAGGUCUAGUGCUCCCCCAGCCGCAGCACCAGGCCGCCACGCCAAGAACCGCCGCCCCGGCGCCGGCGCUGGAGCAGGCGCCGUGCUGCGCCACGGUCUCGGCGCGGCCCGUGCGGGGCCUGGACGAGGUCAGGAAGGCGCACGCGAGGAACGUCAAGCUCGGCCUCGACCGCUCUCCGCCGCACCUGCGGCCGCUCCUCGCGGCGUGCGCGCUCGGGGAGUGGCCGGGCAGCAUGGAGUACGCGGCGGCCAUCUUCGCCACGCUCGACGAGCCGGAGGCGUUCGACUACAACACACUGAUGCGCGGCCACGUCGUCGGCGGCCGCGACCCCGCGGCCGCUCUGCGGCUGUACGUCGACAUGCUGAACGACGGCGUCGAGCCCGACGGCUACACGUUCCCGUUCGUCCUCAAGGCGUGCGCGCAGCUCGCGGCGUUGCGGCAAGGGAGGCAGCUGCAGGGACACGCCGUGAAGCUCGGGUUCCUCGAGCACGACGAGCACGCGCAGAACAGCCUCAUCAGCUUCUACGGCAAGUGCGGCGAGCCGGAGUUGGCGCGCCGGGCGUUCGAGCAGAUGGAGGCCGGGGAGAGAACGGCGGCGUCCUGGAGCGCGCUGCUCGCGGCGUACACGAAGGCCGGGCGGUGGGCUGAUUGCCUCGAGUCGUUCGGCGCGAUGGCGCGGAACGGGUGGAGGCCCGACGAGAGCUCCAUGGUGAGCGCGCUCUCGGCGUGCGCGCACCUGGGCGCCUACGACGUCGGCCGGAGCGUCCACUGCGCGCUGCUGAGGAAUACCAUGACGCUGAACACGUUCAUGGAGACGUCCCUGGUGGACAUGUACGCCAAGUGCGGCUGCAUCGAGAAGGCGACGGCGGUGUUCGACAGCAUGGACGGCAAGAAGAACGAGUGGACGUACAGCGCCAUGGUGUCCGGCUUGGCGUUGCACGGGGACGGGCGUAAGGCGCUGCAGGUGUUCGACGCGAUGAUCAGGGAGGGACACCAGCCCGACGAGGCCGUGUACGUCGGCGUGCUCAACGCGUGCAGCCGCUCGGGGCUGCUCGAGGAAGGCCUGCGGUGCUUCGACCGGAUGCGGCUUGAGCGCAAGGUGGCUCCCAACGCGCAGCACUACGGCUGCAUGGUGGACCUCAUGGCCCGCGCCGGGAGGCUGGACGAGGCGCGCGCGCUCAUCGGGAGCAUGCCCACGGGUCCCACGGACACGGCCUGGCGGAGCCUGCUCAACGCCUGCCGGAUCCACGGCGACAUCGAGCUCGCCGAGCGCGCGCUGCGGGAGCUGGCGCGCCUCGGCGGCGCCGUCAACGCCGGCGACUACAUAAUCCUCGCGGAUAUGCACGCCAGGGCCGAGAACUGGGACGAGGCGGCCGCGCUCCGGACGGAGGCGGUGGAAAGGGGCCUAGCGCAGGCGCCGGGGUUCAGCGCCGUGGAGGUGCACGGCGAGAUGCACCGGUUCACGUCGCAGGACCGGUCGCACCGCCGGACGGCCGACAUCUACGAGAUGCUCCACCAGAUGGAGUGGCAGCUCCGGUUCGAGGGCUACAAGCCAGACACGUCGGAGGUGGCGCUGGACGCGGACGACGAGGAGAAGCGGAGCGCCGUCGCCGCCCACAGCCAGAAGCUGGCCUUGGCGUUCGGGCUGCUCAGCACGCCGGAAGGCACUCCGGUGAGGGUCGUCACCAACCUUCGGAUGAGCAAGGAGUGCCACGCCUACAGCGCGCUGAUAUCGGAGAUCUUCGGGAGGGAGGUCGUCGUCAGGGACCGGAACCGUUUCCACCGGUUCCGGCGUGGCACCUGCAGCUGCGGGAACUAUUGGUAG